RNAcentral lists this ribosomal RNA (1509 nucleotides) under uncultured Bordetella sp. Its description in RNAcentral is "partial 16S-23S ribosomal RNA intergenic spacer". It matches the Rfam family "Bacterial small subunit ribosomal RNA". Lineage: Bacteria; Pseudomonadati; Pseudomonadota; Betaproteobacteria; Burkholderiales; Alcaligenaceae. The record is from RNAcentral.
UUGCUCCUGGGAGCAUCAGAAGAAUGUAGAGUUCGAUUCUGGCUCAGAUUGAACGCCGGCGGGAGCGAGACAAGUGGGUGCCGUAGAACGGUAUGUCAGACUUCGGUCUGGGUGGCGAGGGCACCGGUGAUAAUGUAAUGGAACGUGCCUAGUAGCGGGGGAUAAUUACGCGAAAGCGUAGCCAAUACCGCAUACGCCCUUCGGGGAAAGCGGGGGGACCUUCGGGCCUCGCACUAUUAGGAGUGUGGCCGAUAUCGGAUUACGUUAGGUUGGUGUGGGUAACGGCUCACCAGCGACGAUCCGUAGCUGGUUUGAGAGGACGACCAGCCACACUGGGACUGAGACACGGCCCAGACUCCUACGGGAGGCAGCAGUGGGGAAUUUUGACAAUGGGGAAACCCUGAUCCAGCCAUCCUGGCGUGCGAUGAAGUGCCUUCUCAAGCAGUAGCACCCUUGGCAGGAAAAGAAACGGCACGGAUAAUACCCCGUGCAACUGACGGUACCUGCAGAAUAAGCACCGGCUAACUACGCCAGCAGCCGCGGUAAUACGUAGGGUGCAAGCGUUAAUCGGAAUUAUCGCAUGCAAGCGUGCGCAGGCGGUACUGGAAAGAAAGAUAACCCAGAGCUUAACUUUGAAACUGCAUUUUUAACUACCGAGCUAGAGUGUGUCAGAGGGAGGUGGAAUUCGCGUGUAGCAGUGAAAUGCGUAGAUAUGCGGAGGAACACCGAUGGCGAAGGCAGCCUCCUGGGAUACCGACGCUCAUGCACGAAAGCGUGGGGAGGCAAACAGGAUUAGAUACCCCGGUAGUCCACGCCCUAAACGAUGUCAACUAGCUGUUGGGGCCUUCGGCCUUGGUAGCGCAGCUAACGCGGUGAAGUUGACCGCCUGGGGAGUACGGUCGUAAGAUUAAAACUCAAAGGAAUUGACGGGACCCGCACAAGCGGUGGAUGAUGUGAUUAAUUGAUGCAACGCGAAAAACCUUACCUACCCUUGACAGCGUUCGAAUCCCGAAGAGAUUUGGGAGUGCUCGCAAGAGAACCGAACACAGGUGCUGCAUGGCUGUCGUCAGCUCGUGUCGAGAUGUAAGUUGUAAGUUAAGUCCCGCACCAGCGCAACCCUUGUCAUUAGUUGCUACAAAGGGUACUUCCAUCGAGACUGCCGGUGACAAACCGGAGUAGGCAGGUGGGGAUGACGUCAAGUCCUCAUGGCCCUUAUGGGUAGGGCUUCACACGUCAUACAAUGGUCGGGACAGAGGGUCGCCAACCCGCGAGGGGAGCCAAUCCUGAAACCCGAUCGUAGUCCGGAUCGCAGUCUGCAACUCGACUGCGUGAAGUCGGAAUCGCUAGUAAUCGCGGAUCAGCAUGUCGCGGUGAAUACGUUCCCGGGUCUUGUACACACCGCCCGUCACACCAUGGGAGUGGGUUUUACCAGAAGUAGCGGCCUAACCGUAAGGAGGGCGAUUACCACGGUAGGAUUCAUAUGACUGGGGUGAAGUCGUAACAAGGUAG